Molecule: ribosomal RNA, 537 nt
Filed under: Tetranychus ludeni (bean spider mite)
Lineage: Eukaryota; Metazoa; Arthropoda; Arachnida; Trombidiformes; Tetranychidae
Description: eukaryotic LSU rRNA
Rfam family: Eukaryotic large subunit ribosomal RNA
Source: RNAcentral
AACGAGAUUCCCACUGUCCCUAACUACUAUCUAGCGAAACCACAGCCAAGGGAACGGGCUUGGCAAAAUCAGCGGGGAAAGAAGACCCUGUUGAGCUUGACUCUAGUCUGACUUUGUGAAGAGACAUGAGAGGUGUAGCAUAAGUGGGAGUUUUGGGAUCCCUCUUGAUUACAGUUUCGGCUGUAGUUGAGACCCCUUAACAAUCAUGAAAUACCACUACUCUCAUCGUUUCUUUACUUACACGGUGAAAAGGAAAUCGGGAUAGUGUCUCUCUCUUCUGGACUUCGGUUCAGUAGCAGGAGGCCACCUAUCUCUAAAUUCUAGAGCCAAAUGUAGUUCCAUCCAUAUAUGCUCAAGACACCUAAUUGAAUCUUGUUCUUCAGGACUUGGUUGAAUUAAAGACUUGGGUUUGGUUGGUAGCCAAUGUGUAUCAGCAAUGAUACACAUAACCGCAUGAUCCUCGCCGUGGACAUUGUCAGGCGGGCAGUUUGACUGGGGCGGUACAUCUGUCAAAAGGUAACGCAGGUGUCCUAAGGC